Molecule: ribosomal RNA, 1234 nt
Filed under: metagenome
Description: bacterial LSU rRNA
Rfam family: Bacterial large subunit ribosomal RNA
Source: RNAcentral
UGAAUACGAGAUGCUACGGCGUCGAAGCAGUGUAUGUCAGACUUCCAAGAAAAUCUCGCAAUGUCAUAAAUAAAGAAUGCCUGUACCAUAACCGACACAGGUGGGUAGGUAGAGUAUACUAAGGGGCGCGAGAUAACUCUCUCUAAGGAACUCGGCAAAAUAACUCCGUAACUUCGGGAGAAGGAGUGCCUUCUUUAAGAAGGUUGCAAUAACAAGAUCCAAGCAACUGUUUAUCAAAAACACAGGUCUCCGCUAAGUCGUAAGACGAUGUAUGGGGGCUGACGCCUGCCCAGUGCCAGAAGGUUAAAGAAGUUGGUUAGCUUUUGCGAAGCUGAUGACUGAAGCCCUGGUGAACGGCGGCCGUAACUAUAACGGUCCUAAGGUAGCGAAAUUCCUUGUCGGGUAAGUUCCGACCCGCACGAAAGGCGUAAUGAUUUGGAUACUGUCUCGGAGAGGGACUCGGUGAAAUAGACUUGUCUGUGAAGAUGCGGACUACCUGCACCAGGACAGAAAGACCCUAUGAAGCUUUACUGUAACUUGAAAUUGAAAUUGGACUUUAUUUGCGCAGUAUAGGUGGAAGGCGUUGAAAGUAAUCUUGCGGGAUUAGUGGAGCCAUCAGUGAGAUACCACUCCUAUAAUGUUAGAUUUCUAACUUUGGAUCAUGAUCUGGUCAAAGAACAGUUUCAGGCGGGCAGUUUGACUGGGGCGGUCGCCUCCCAAAUGGUAACGGAGGCGUACAAAGGUUUCCUCUGAACGGGUAGAAAUCGUAUCUAGAGUGUAAAGGCAUAAGGAAGCUUGACUGUGAGACCUACAAGUCGAGCAGGGACGAAAGUCGGUCUUAGUGAUCUGACGGUGCUGAGUGGAAAGGCCGUCACUCAACGGAUAAAAGUUACUCUAGGAUAACAGGCUGAUCUCCCCCAAGAGUUCACAUCGACGGGGAGGUUUGGCACCUGAUGUCGGCUCAUCGCAUCCUGGGGCGGUAGUACGUCCCAAGGGUUGGGCUGUUCGCCCAUGAAAGCGGUACGCGAGCUGGGUUCAGAACGUCGUGAGACAGUUCGGUCCAUAUCCGGUGUAGGCGUUAGAAUAUUGAGAGGAGCCUUCUUUAGUACGAGAGGACCGAGAAGGACAUACCUCUGGUGUACCAGUUAUCGUGCCAACGGUAAACGCUGGGUAGCUAUGUAUGGAGAGGAUAACCGCUGAAAGCAUCUAAGUGGGAAGCCCACCUCAAGAUGAG